GUCCACGCCGUAAACGAUGUCUACUAGCCGUUGGGGUCCUUGAGACUUUAGUGGCGCAGUUAACGCGAUAAGUAGACCGCCUGGGGAGUACGGCCGCAAGGUUAAAACUCAAAUGAAUUGACGGGGGCCCGCACAAGCGGUGGAGCAUGUGGUUUAAUUCGAUGCAACGCGAAGAACCUUACCUGGUCUUGACAUAGUGAGAAUCCUGCAGAGAUGCGGGAGUGCCUUCGGGAAUUCACAUACAGGUGCUGCAUGGCU
RNAcentral lists this ribosomal RNA (258 nucleotides) under uncultured bacterium. RNAcentral describes it as "partial 16S ribosomal RNA". It matches the Rfam family "Bacterial small subunit ribosomal RNA", at positions 793 to 1050 of the family's 1533-position model. The record is from RNAcentral.